RNAcentral lists this long non-coding RNA (167 nucleotides) under Mustela putorius furo (domestic ferret). RNAcentral describes it as "lncRNA (ENSMPUG00000027171.1)". The record is from RNAcentral. Lineage: Eukaryota; Metazoa; Chordata; Mammalia; Carnivora; Mustelidae.
CUACACUGAAGGUUUGACUCACUGCCAGCGGCAAGGUUUCUUGCCAUGGGGAAGGAGGCGUUCUGACUUGUGCAUCAGGUUCGCCCCUGUGCAGCGAUUGGAGAUAAGGACAGUCGAGUCCUAUUGGAUGGUUUCAGGAUGCCCCAUAAGGAAAGACUCGAGAGCAG